AAGACCUCAAAUCAGGUGGGACUACCCGCUGAACUUUAAGGCAUAUCAAUAAGCGGAGGAAAAGAAACUAACAAGGAUUCCCCUAGUAACGGCGAGUGAAAGAGGGAAAAGCCCAAAUUUGUAAUCUGGCUCUUUCAGAG
Molecule: ribosomal RNA, 140 nt
Filed under: Puccinia hordei
Lineage: Eukaryota; Fungi; Basidiomycota; Pucciniomycetes; Pucciniales; Pucciniaceae
Description: partial 28S large subunit ribosomal RNA
Rfam family: Eukaryotic large subunit ribosomal RNA
Source: RNAcentral